UUGGUCGAAUAUUGUAAGGGGUUAAUACGUAGUUUGUAUUUGAAUAGUUAGAUUAACGUGUUAGUAAACCAAUUGUAGGCGGUUCGUGUGUGGAUCUCGUCAGCAUAUCGUCGCAAACAGGCGGUUCGUGUGUGGAUCUCGUCAGCAUAUCGUCGCAAACAGGAAAUCCCCAACCAUAGUGGGCUUGGAGCUGUGAGGGAAUUCGGAGUGGCCACCCGUUCUGAAAGUUUGAUUUUCUUCUGGUGAACUGGACAUCCUUUUAUUUACGUUUGAAGUUUUUGGGCUUUUAAAUGUAAUAAGGCCGCUUAAUUAUUUUUGAUGGUUUUAAUAUGUAUUACUAAGAUAGGUAAUACUUAUUUUAACUGUUGAAAUUGGAUAGCUUUAGGGCGCGUUUUCAAAAACAACAA
This is a long non-coding RNA of Gossypium arboreum, 407 nucleotides long. RefSeq lists it as uncharacterized. NCBI's taxonomy places the organism in Eukaryota, Viridiplantae, Streptophyta, Magnoliopsida, Malvales, Malvaceae. The transcript has 3 exons. The record is from RefSeq and is a predicted model, not a curated record.